This is a long non-coding RNA of Bactrocera oleae (olive fruit fly), 2722 nucleotides long. RefSeq annotates it as Hen1 methyltransferase. The record is from RefSeq and is a predicted model, not a curated record. Lineage: Eukaryota; Metazoa; Arthropoda; Insecta; Diptera; Tephritidae.
UAUAUAAGGCCUGCCGGAUUGUGCAGCAAACACUGUUACAAUUAAAGUGUUGCCGUGUAAAGAGCAAUUAAGCUAUAAGCAAUAAGUUGUAAACUCGAAUAGCGAGCAAUAAGGGUUAAGUUGUUGAAAUUAGAAAUAGAGAUAAGUGUAUAGCCAAUAAAUUGGAACUUUUGUUUAACAAUCCAGUGAUCGAACUCAAGAGUGAGUUACAAGGUAGAUGAUUGAUCGAGAAAUCCGUUACAAUAUUUAGACAUCAAUUGUUAAACAUUAGCAACGUGGAGUCUCAUUCGCAAUAUUGCUAGCAAUUCAGGUUUUUAGCAAUCUUAAAUUGCCUGCCGAGAUGCCCCGCUAUUGUGAAUUUAACCAUAGAUGUCUCCGUCAGCAACAGUUAAGUUGGUGAUACUGUCAGCGUAAUCGUCCAUCUUUAAAAAAUUCACUACGGAAACGUUCAUUUCAUUUCGGAUUGUCUUCGAGUAAAGAUGUGUCAUUUAUUUGGACUUAAAAAAUUGUAUAAUUUUAGAGAGUAUAAAAGUGGGUAUGGUUGACUUACAAUGGAAUUUGUGACAAGCUCAUUGGUUCGAAUAUGAAUUAUCUGAGGACGUGAAAUUUGAAAUCUAUAUUUUCCUGUCUACAAAGGUCUUCCUAACCACGUGGACGUGGACUUCAGUGUCUAAUAUAAACCGUACAUUAAAUGAUAAGGAUUAUCUUGGUGUUCGCUGAAAGCAGUAAGAUAUACACUUUAGACGGGGAGAAUAUCGAUGUACUUCCGGCAUCCCACGAGAUCUUUGUUGAAUAAUAAAAACAAUGUAAUAGCAAGUAGUAAUAAAGAAUUAAUUGCUUUUAAAUAAUUUGUGUUUUUAUUGUAGAUCCAGAUUGAAAAUUAGGAAAAUAUAGAUAAGCCAUAUAUUUGCAAAAAAAAAUCAUGCAGUUGAAUUUCUGAUUGUAAAAGCUUUUCUAAACAUUCUCUACAAUCGAAAUCAUAGUAAAUUUCAUUGAUAUAAAUGAUUAAUCGUUUUCGAAAAGCUACAUAUUUUAUUGCAUAUAGUGCAUAGGAAUAUGUAUUUUUUUACUUAGGUCGCUGUUGAAACUAUUGUUUCAACGCAUAAAUAUAAUUGUGAAUGCUACUUUAUCAAAUGGGAACAGUGAAAAUGGAACACAAGAGAACAGAAAAUAUGCGAGAAAUUGUAUUCCUCUUCACUGUAAACGAUAGCUUAUAAACAAAACGUCGAUCAUUUAAUAUAUAAAAAGAGGACAUAAAGUAUGUUUAAUUAUAAAUUACCGGAUGGAGGUUUGCGCGCUCAUUGUUACUUUAAUUCCAAUGGUGACAUCAAAUUUGAUCCACCAGUAUAUGAGCAGCGUUAUACUACAACAGUACGCAUAUUGGAAGAUCCACAUUGGGGGUACAAAUUUAAAAAAGUGGUAGAUUUUGGAUGUGCUGAUAUGCGAUUAUUGUCAUUGAUACGCCGUACAGAAGGCAUUGAACAUAUUCUAGAGGUUGACAUUGACGAAGAUUUAUUAAAGAGCAAUAAACUGAGAGCAGAACCCUUGGUAACGGACUAUUUGAAAAAACGUGAAACUCCUUUACGAAUCGAAUUAUUACAAGGAAGUAUCGACACGCCGGCUGAACAAUUGUUAAAUGUAGACGCAGUCAUCGCUUUGGAAAUAAUUGAGCAUUUGUACCCAGAUACACUAGCGAAUGCUCCAAAAAAUAUUUUCGGUUUUAUGCAACCGAGACUAGCAAUAUUUUCAACACCAAAUUCGGAAUUUAACGUACUCUUUGAGCCGUUACUAGCAAAUGGUUUCCGACAUGAUGAUCAUAAAUUCGAAUGGACACGCUCUGAAUUCAGGGAUUGGGCAUUAAAUAUUUGUCAACAAUAUCCAAAUUAUAAGGUUGCUUUUAUGGGUGUUGGGGAUGCACCACCAGAUAGAAAAGAUAUUGGCAACGUAACUCAAAUAGCAAUAUUCGCACGUUGUGAUUUGCUGGAUCGUUCUCUUCAUAGUGAGUUACUUCCCAGCAAGGUCGCAGUAGAUUGUAGACCUGAUGCAGAUGUUCGAUACAAAGAAAUAUUUACAGUAGAUUUCCCAGUUUACCUUGAUGAACGUAGCAAAGAUCAAAAGAUUCUGGAUGAGGCGCGUUAUCAAAUCAGUCGUUGCCGACGUAUCGAUAGAUAUUUCAAUUGCGAUUUACGUGUGUAUGAAGUACCUCUCACAGUUUUAAGGGACUAUAUUGAAAAUAUUGGCGCUACAAUACAAGAACUGCUUACUGUUCUGAAAGAAAAUGGUAUUGAAGUAAAAGAAGAAUACAUCAUAUUACCCGAAUAUGAUGAGGAUGAUUUAAGUUAUCAUCAAUAUGAUGAUUGUUACGAUGAGGAGUUGGGAGUGUGGAAUGAUGUUGGGUAUGCUGUGGAUGAGACCGGAAAUGAUGACGAACGGGGUGCAUGCGGUGGAUAUUCACAUACUAAAGAAGACACCAAUUAUGAUUCUGAGGAAAAUUGGGAUUAAGCGAAAGCUAGUAGGGGUUUAAUUUAGUUACAACUUAAAUAAUAAACCAUUAUUAUAUGUAUGAAGAAAACGAUAAAAUGAAAUACUAUGUAUAAAUAAAGCAGUAUACAAAAUGUUACUUAAGUAGAGAUUUUUUAAAGAAAAUGGGAUUGAACAAUCACCGGGUCAACAGUGAAUACUUUUUCCCUAUAAUAAAUGUACGUGAAUACAUAUCUACAGA